Regulatory RNA element from Enterococcus columbae, 98 nucleotides. It matches the Rfam family "Purine riboswitch aptamer". From Rfam's summary of the family: Riboswitches are metabolite binding domains within certain messenger RNAs that serve as precision sensors for their corresponding targets. Allosteric rearrangement of mRNA structure is mediated by ligand binding, and this results in modulation of gene expression. The record is from Rfam. NCBI's taxonomy places the organism in Bacteria, Bacillati, Bacillota, Bacilli, Lactobacillales, Enterococcaceae.
GUUUUUCAUAAUUAAUACGCUUAUAUAUCGUCGUAAUAUGGUCGACAGUUUCUACCCAAUACCGUAAAUGUUGGACUAUAAGCAAAAUUCGUUGCAUG